UGCCCUACGGGGGGCAGCAGUGAGGAGUAUUGGUCAAUGGGCGGAAGCCUGAACCAGCCAAGUCGCGUGAGGGAAUAAGGCCCUACGGGUCGUAAACCUCUUUUGCCGGGGAGCAAGGGCCGGGACGAGUCCCGGUCCGGAGAGUACCCGGAGAAAAAGCAUCGGCUAACUCCGUGCCAACAGCCGCGGUAAUACGGAGGAUGCGAGCGUUAUCCGGAUUUAUUGGGUUUAAAGGGUGCGUAGGCGGGCUUUUAAGUCGGCGGUAAAAAUUCGGGGCUCAACCCCGUCCGGCCGUUGAAAUUGGG
Molecule: ribosomal RNA, 305 nt
Filed under: uncultured bacterium
Lineage: Bacteria
Description: bacterial SSU rRNA
Rfam family: Bacterial small subunit ribosomal RNA
Source: RNAcentral